Molecule: ribosomal RNA, 455 nt
Filed under: uncultured bacterium
Lineage: Bacteria
Description: bacterial SSU rRNA
Rfam family: Bacterial small subunit ribosomal RNA
Source: RNAcentral
AACGAACGCUGGCGGCGUGCCUAACACAUGCAAGUCGAACGGAGUGAAGGAGCUUGCUCUUUCAUUUAGUGGCGCACGGGUGAGUAACGCGUAGAUAAUCUGCCUUAGACUCUGGGAUAACAUUUCGAAAGGGGUGCUAAUACCGGAUAAGCCCACGAUGGCGUAAGUCAUUGCGGGAAAAGGGGCCUCUGCAUAUGCUCUUGAUCUAAGAUGAGUCUGCGUACCAUUAGCUAGUUGGUAGGGUAAGAGCCUACCAAGGCGACGAUGGUUAGCUGGUCUGAGAGGAUGAUCAGCCACACUGGGACUGAGACACGGCCCAGACUCCUACGGGAGGCAGCAGUGGGGAAUAUUGCGCAAUGGGCGAAAGCCUGACGCAGCCACGCCGCGUGAGCGAUGAAGGCCUCGGUCGUAAAGCUCUGUGGGAGGAGAAGAAUAAAGACUGUGAAGAGCAGGCC